UCGGUGAGGGUGCGGGGCGGGGGCAGGUCCUGCACCGCUGUGCUGACGUGGGGAUGCGGAGACGUCCCUCUCCUUUACUCUUAGGGACACGGUAACCGCUCGCAGGCGCCGCGUCGGGGCAGCUGGGGCAGCGCGGGCUGCGUGGAGGGAGAGCCCGGGGACAGCGAAGGACGGGGCGGCCCCCGGGCGGGGCGGACAACGGGCUGCAGGCGGGCGGGGCUGCUCGGAGGCCAUGUCCGGCGCCGACACUCCACGUGGGCCUGCGAGGCUCCAUCUCCACAACCAGGGUCCGCGCCCCGGCUUCCCGCCCCACCAACUCCGGGGUGAGCAGAGGUGAACUCCCCAUUGGAGGAGUCUGGUCACGUGACCACGCCCUAUUGCAAGGGACGCUGGGAAAGAGCAGAUGCCGGGGAUCCCGGGAGAGGGAGGAUGCAAGGGACGCUGGGAAAGAGCGGAUGCAAGGGACGCUGGGAGAGGGAGGAUGCAAGGGACGCUGGGAAAGAGCGGAUGCAAGGGAUGCUGGGAGAGGGAGGAUGCAAGGGAGAGGGCGGACGGUCCUGUCGUCAGGUCCCGACUGGCCUCCGCCUUGAGCAGAACACAGACGUCACGGGUGCACGUGACGUGGUCAGAGCGCCGCCGCCUCCCUCUUCGCCGGGCUCCAGAUCUCCCAAGUGGCUGCCGGCGGGCCCCGGCGUCACGAUGACCCGUGGAGACACCGUGUGCAUCACUGAAGGGGUUAAAGGCGGCAGUGGCAGGCGAGGUUUUGGAAAGCUGGGGUUUGGGGAAAUAGUUUACAGGGAAAGAGGUCUGCAGUACCCCUGUCCUCGGCCCAGGCUGCAGUCAAUGAAACCAAAGCUCCACGAAUCAUGGAUCUCAGGAGAAGCAGGUGAAAACUCACAGUUGAGGCUCACCGUUGGAUCAAGUGCAACAGCUGUCUAAAGCUACGCAGGCAGGAAUCAGUGUAGCCAAACGCUGGACAAUUUGUGCUUCUAAGAAUGUUUUCUUAAAAUGAACCUACAUGUAAUAGGCAAGACAGGGCUAUUUCAAAAAAAUCUGACUUUGGAAAGAAACAUUUGCUAUAAAAUGGGAGCUAAAGUCAUCCCUGAUUUACUGAGUUUGCCAAAAGAAAACCAAAAAGGACAGCACAGGUCGGCAUGGGUUUCUGGAAGGAUGGCUUUGCCAGUGCCGAGAGCUGGACGUUUGCUCAGAGAUGGGACUGAUGGUCCCUUUCUGGCAUGUUCUGAGUGGAGAGGGGGCUUCACUGAGACCCGCCAGCCCAGACACAAGAAAGCCCUGGGCUAUGGGUUGAGGGUCUGUCUUUUCAGGGAUGGCUAAAGGGCCCACUGGUCACAGGAGGUCACUUUCCCCUGAGUCCCUGAGGGCAGGGGCUGCUUCAGUAGGUUGGCUGAUGGGUUCAUUAAGUCUGGGGCCACAGGCUUGAAGUUUGUCCCUGGGGGGUCUCCAGUUGAGCAAGGACCAAGUGCCUUUGACUAUGAACACACAGCAGAGCCCAGUGGACAAAUUCAGAGGUAGGAGAGCCCAGUGCAGGGCUAGGGGGCUCCUGAGACUCCCCUUUCUGCUGAUCUGUGUCCUCACUCCUGCCGUUACCUGCCUUGAAAUCUUCCCUCAGCUGUCCUCCUUCCCACCAGCUUUUGCCUGUCUAAUGCCUUCUGAUCCUUCACAGCUCAGGUUGUGUCCUCCAGGAAGCCUUGGCAGCCCCUCCGGGUAAACCUCCAUUCACCCCCACGCAGGAUUCCUGCUUACGCUUAUUGCAUUACACUGGCGUCUACUUGGGGGAUGAUCUUAACCUUAAAGCGUAAGUUCUUCAAGGAAUUAUGUCCUAUUUUCUUUUUGUUUGCCUUUCCAGCAACCAGCAUAGUACCUGAUGCAAAGUAACUGUUCAAGAAGUGUGUGGAAUUGCGUGAAGCCUCAGUCGCAGGGAGAGCAGCCCUAGUGACACACGGUGGAAGGAAGCCUGUGGGAAAAACACUCACUCCUGAAGCUGUGGGAUCCUUAUGGUUUGCCAAAUGCCAGAGUAACACCUGCUCCACCCCCGCGCCCAGGAAUCCAGGAGUGCUGGCCUACCUGUGCACAUAGCACCACCAGGCCACAAGGGCAGCAACGUGGUUUUAAAGUCCUCCAGCCUGCCUGCCUUAAAAUUAUGUGAUUCACGAUGUUUUGGCUUUAAGGAAUUGGAUUGUUUCCAGUCUUUUGCAUCUAGUUAAAAUGCAUCGAUUUAAAAGAAUUCUGGUAUUUCGAAUUUGCAUAAUUUAAAUUCACAAAUGUGGUGUUAUAUUGGAUUGUAAAUGAAACACCAAGGUGAUCUGAGAGCCCCUGAAACCAGUGCUGGCCUGGUCACCAGCGGGCCCGUGACCCUGCAUCUGCGUUGGCCUUCGGGCUUCCAUAACCGGCACGGCCACUUGCCCCCGGGAUGCAGAUGUCCACUGGCAGAGGAGCAGUGAUAGUUCUGAUGCAAAAAUGCUGGAUUUGUGCCGUCGCGGAGAAGCAGGCCACCUCGUGUGUCUCAGCUUUCCCUUGGCUCCUCCCCGAAGCAGUUCAGCUGAUUGGCAUGGACUGGAGUUGGCUAAUAACAUGAUCUAUCCCUCCACUCAACCACAGCCUCUGGAGGAAGUCUGCAGGAAGGCUCUGGGAUGAGGAUCAGAGCUCUCCAGGGUUUGUGGCCAAUACCAAAUGGGAGGCAGACUCGCCUUGGGACAGUCUCCAUCCACAGCACUGCUCUCUGGUGUCUGAACCCAAGACAAACCAAAGCACAAUCAUAUUUUCCCCUUGGAUUGAACAGAGAGAUUCUUGAAAACUGAAACUCCAUGAAUUUAAGGAGGCAGGAUUUUACACCAAGUUGUUCCUAGGGUAGGUUUCGGGAGGGGAGAGUUAAGGAUUGUUUGGGCUGAGACAGCGUGUUUUGAGUCAAAGGGGAGUUGGUUGUACUGUCUGAAGCUCUGUAGCAUGAUAGCAGUAACCUGGUGACAGCUCUGGUGACAAAGUUGCCCAAUGAGCCUUCAGGAGACUGAGGACAAGACCUGGGUGGUACUUCAGAACCCAGUCCUGGUUUCGUGUGUUCAUGAGCACUGAACCUCUCUGAGUUCCAUUCUCAGCACCUGUGGAAUGGCAAUAACAGCAGCGAUCUACUUCGUGGCAGCCUCCCUAUAUGAGAAAUGAUUGAUAAGAAUAACUCAGCUGGGUCGUACAUGUAAAAGGAUCGAACAUAGAAUGCUCUAAAAUCUCACCAAGAUGCCAGAAGAUGCAUAUCCCUCCACACAGCUCUGAAAGAUCAAUAAGAAAAAAACAAAUAGCCCAAUAGAAAAAUGGGCAAUGAAUAGGAACAGGCAACUAACAGAAGAACUACAAAUGGCCUUUCAGUUGAGGUAGGUGUGCAACGUGACAAUGGUCAUCAACAACACUGUUGUGUGUUUGCAGCUCACUAAGAGAGAAAAUCUUCAAGGUUCUCCUCACAAAGAGAAAACCGACCAUAACUGUGUGAGGUGGUGAAUGUUAACUGAUUUUAUUGUGGUGACUGCUUUGUAAUACAUACGUAUAUCAAAUCAUUGGGUUGUACACCUUCAACUUAGACAAUAUUAUGUGUCAAUUGUAUCUCAAUAAAACAGAAGAAGUAAAUAAAUAAACUUGGGGG
Molecule: long non-coding RNA, 3649 nt
Filed under: Vulpes vulpes (red fox)
Lineage: Eukaryota; Metazoa; Chordata; Mammalia; Carnivora; Canidae
Description: lncRNA (ENSVVUG00000025300.1)
Source: RNAcentral